This 448-nucleotide ribosomal RNA is filed under the name uncultured bacterium. RNAcentral's name for it is "bacterial SSU rRNA". It matches the Rfam family "Bacterial small subunit ribosomal RNA", at positions 954 to 1402 of the family's 1533-position model. The record is from RNAcentral.
GAUUAACGCGAAGAACCUUACCUGGGCUCGAAGUGCUGGUGACCCGCGGUGGAAACAUCGCCUUCUCGCAAGAGACACCAGUAGAGGUGCUGCAUGGCUGUCGUCAGCUCGUGCCGUGAGGUGUUGGGUUAAGUCCCGCAACGAGCGCAACCCUUACUCUUAGUUGCCACCCGCAAGGGGGAACUCUAAGAGGACUGCUCCGGACAACGGAGAGGAAGGUGGGGAUGACGUCAAGUCAGCAUGGCCUUUAUGUCCAGGGCUACACACGUGUUACAAUGCACGGCACAAACCGUCGCGAACCUGCGAAGGGGAGCUAAUCGGAAAAAACCGUGCUCAGUUCGGAUUGCAGUCUGCAACUCGACUGCAUGAAGCCGGAAUCGCUAGUAAUGGCGCAUCAGAACGGCGCCGUGAAUACGUUCCCGGGCCUUGUACACACCGAAUCACUAGU